GAUGAACGCUGGCGGCGUGCUUAACACAUGCAAGUCGAACGGAAAGGCUCCUGCUUGCAGGGGUACUCGAGUGGCGAACGGGUGAGUAACACGUGGGUGAUCUGCCCUGCACUUCGGGAUAAGCCUGGGAAACUGGGUCUAAUACCGGAUAGGUCGAUGGUUUGGAUGCCAUUGUGGAAAGUUUUUUCGGUGUGGGAUGGGCUCGCGGCCUAUCAGCUUGUUGGUGGGGUAAUGGCCUACCAAGGCGUCGACGGGUAGCCGGCCUGAGAGGGUGUACGGCCACAUUGGGACUGAGAUACGGCCCAGACUCCUACGGGAGGCAGCAGUGGGGAAUAUUGCACAAUGGGCGCAAGCCCGAUGCAGCGACGCCGCGUGGGGGAUGACGGCCUUCGGGUUGUAAACUCCUUUCGCUAGGGACGAAGCGCAAGUGACGGUACCUGGAGAAGAAGCACCGGCUAACUACGUG
This 466-nucleotide ribosomal RNA is filed under the name uncultured bacterium. RNAcentral describes it as "partial 16S ribosomal RNA". It matches the Rfam family "Bacterial small subunit ribosomal RNA", at positions 28 to 507 of the family's 1533-position model. The record is from RNAcentral.